UGGGGAAUCUUGGACAAUGGGCGCAAGCCUGAUCCAGCCAUGCCGCGUGGAUGAUGAAGGCCUUAGGGUUGUAAAAUCCUUUCGUCAGGGACGAUAAUGACGGUACCUGAAGAAGAAGCCCCGGCUAACUUCGUGCCAGCAGCCGCGGUAAUACGAAGGGGGCUAGCGUUGUUCGGAAUUACUGGGCGUAAAGCGCAUGUAGGCGGGUCGUUAAGUCGGGGGUGAAAGCCCAGAGCUCAACUCUGGAACUGCCUUCGAUACUGGCGACCUGGACCCAAGGAGAGGCGAGUGGAAUUGCGAGUGUAGAGGUGAAAUUCGUAGAUAUUCGCAGGAACACCAGUGGCGAAGGCGACUCGCUGGACUUGUGGUGACGCUGAGAUGCGAAAGCGUGGGGAGCAAACAGGAUUAGAUACCCUUGUAGUCCCUGAGCGGGCUGGCAAGGCGCAU
RNAcentral lists this ribosomal RNA (447 nucleotides) under uncultured bacterium. RNAcentral describes it as "bacterial SSU rRNA". It matches the Rfam family "Bacterial small subunit ribosomal RNA", at positions 355 to 825 of the family's 1533-position model. The record is from RNAcentral.